GUCCUUACUUUGGUAGCACAUAUACUAAAAUUGGAAUGAUACAGAGAAGAUUAGAUUAGCAUAUCCCCUGCCACAAGGAUGACACACAAAUUCAUAAAAUCUUCCGAAAUCUAU
Molecule: small nuclear RNA, 114 nt
Filed under: Jaculus jaculus (lesser Egyptian jerboa)
Lineage: Eukaryota; Metazoa; Chordata; Mammalia; Rodentia; Dipodidae
Source: RNAcentral